This is a long non-coding RNA of Nerophis ophidion (straightnose pipefish), 1953 nucleotides long. RefSeq lists it as uncharacterized. Lineage: Eukaryota; Metazoa; Chordata; Actinopteri; Syngnathiformes; Syngnathidae. The transcript has 5 exons. The record is from RefSeq and is a predicted model, not a curated record.
GAAGGUGUACUUCCGGGUUUAGGAAUAUGUUCCCGCCUCCUCCGGGUGAUCGACCAAUCAAGUCCGAGCGCGGCAUUAAACGCCUGAAGCAGGAAAUGAAUGUUCACUUGUCAGUUGGGAACGUUCACGUAUUAAAAUAAUACUUUUCAGGCACAUUUAAAAAACAACAAAGACAAAAGAGUUGACUUAAAAUGCUGCAGGAAGCAAAAAAAACCACCAAACGAGUCUGACAGACUUUAAAACGAGACGGAAACACGGAGUAACCGAAGAAUUGUCACAUGGACAUCUCGAAAAACAAGAGAGGAGAAGCCGAGGAGCCAAGAUCACAGCUGCCUUUUUGAGUUGCAGUAGGAGGAGGUAUAAUCCACUGAUGUCUCCGCCAAACUUUAGAGAAUUCACCUGGGAGACAGAAACAAGAGCCAGCCUCUCUGCAGGAAGAUGUUUUCGCUCCGACAGGAUGGAGUCUUUGCUCCCCACGUUUGCAUGCAUGCAUGCAUGUAUGUGUGUGUGUUGUGUGUGCCGCUAUUGUCUCCCCAGGGAGGAAACCACAAUACCACCCCUGAGCUCAUCUCCCAGCCGACGUGCAGCAUCGAGGCGAGCAGACAGCUCUCGUGGGCAUCAGGCUCACUGCGACGCCAGCCUGAUGGACAGGGGCUCGACGAUGGCACAACGUUUUUAAAGACAAUUGUAUUCUGUGUUAUCAGGAUAAGAACUCCCAAGAUGAAGAUUGAAAAAAAACAACACAUUUUAAUAGUAAUACUAGUAAUAAUAGUAGUAAUACUACGCAAAUGGGGAAAGGAAUAGCGCUUCUCGGGCAGUGGAGCAACUCGAGGGUUCCAGGUUCCAUCCCCGCUUCUGCCAUCCGAGUCACUGCCGAUGUGUCAUUGGGCAAGGUACCUGCUUUCCCUUCACCUAUUAACAGUAAUCAGUAAUCAUAGUAAUAAGCACUUAAAGGUAAAAAUUGACUGCUGUGUACAAUAAAAACAAUGUAACACUUAUAUUGCAUGUUGAGAAUGAUACAUGAAUGAAUGCUUCAUUUCAAAUAAUAAAUAACAAAAAAAGUAAUAACAGAAUGUGUGACCAUUAAAUAUCAGACUGUAAAUAAAUGUCGAUGUUAUGAAGUAAAAAGAGAAUGUUAUAACUAAAUGUAUGUUUAAUUUACAUUUUGUACUUUAAUGUUACGUAACAAAUAUGUGAAUAUACUGCAAUAUAAUAAUAAGUGUUAUUUUUACAAGGUACCUGUGUUGUACUUGAUGUACUUCCAAGUGACUUUGUCAAGUACUAGUAAAGGAAGAGAUGAUGAAGUACUUUAAGUGUGUUUUGGAGAAGUACACUUUUGGAGUGUUUAUUUUGUCCUGAGAUGAAGAUAAACGUCUGUCGUUCUUCAUGAAGACUCGUUAUGAGUGUGAACAUGACCAAAGUAGGCGUGUCCACAAAGAAAGAAGGAAGGGGUGCGGAGCCUCUUUCAUUUCGUAACAGAAAGGUCGUAAAGUGGAUGUGCUGAGGAAUAUAUUAACUGACUAAAUUCUAUAGCUAAAGAAAUGUAUGAAAAAUAGAAGUUUUAUGAAAUACUGUAAUAAUUUACAGUAUGUACUUCAACUCUGCUUCUCCGUCAAACACACCAUCAGCAGCUUCACCAGAGUUUCAUUGAGAAAUGUUAAAAGGUUAUCAUAUUAUAUAAACAUGGACACUAGCGGACAUGAAGGAUGUCCAGAUCAGUAGGUUUGGUAUUGACUGUAUGACUUUACAAUGUAAAAAUAGGCCAUUUGAUAUAUUUUACAGUCAGAAUAAAAGUUAUAGUGUUAUGCUCUGUUUGAUGUGUUGGAUUCUGUCUUCUGAUUUGUACUUUCAUUGUGUACUUUUCUUAUAUUCUAUGUACAUCAAACACACCUUUUAUGUAUGUGUUCUCUUGUCAGCUUGUUGAUUUAUUGUCAUCAAUCCACAGUUAUAUGU